CAUAUCAAUAAGCGGAGGAAAAGAAACCAACAGGGAUUGCCCUAGUACCGGCGAGUGAAGCGGCAACAGCUCAAAUUUGAAAUCUGGCUCUUUCAGAGUCCGAGUUGUAAUUUGCAGAGGGCGCUUUGGCGUUGGCAGCGGUCCAAGUUCUUUGGAACAGGACGUCACAGAGGGUGAGAAUCCCGUACGUGGUCGCUAGCCUUCGCCGUGUAAAGCCCCUUCGACGAGUCGAGUUGUUUGGGAAUGCAGCUCUAAAUGGGAGGUAAAUUUCUUCUAAAGCUAAAUACUGGCCAGAGACCGAUAGCGCACAAGUAGAGUGAUCGAAAGAUGAAAAGCACUUUGGAAAGAGAGUCAAAUAGCACGUGAAAUUGUUGAAAGGGAAGCGCUUGCAGCCAGACUUGCCUGUAGUUGCUUAUCUAGACUUUUGUCUAGUGCACUCUUUUGCGGGCAGGCCAGCAUCAGUCUAGGCGGUUGGAUAAAGGUCUCUGUCAUGUACCUCUCUUCGGGGAGGCCUUAUAGGGGAGACGACAUGCAACCAGCCUGGAGUGAGGUCCGCGCAUCUGCUAGGAUGCUGGCGUAAUGGCUGUAAGCGGCCCGUCUUGAAACACGGACCAAGGAGUCUAACAUCUAUGCGAGUGUUUGGGUGUCAAGCCCAGACGCGUAAUGAAAGUGAACGGAGGUGGGAACCCUUUGGGUGCACCAUCGACCGAUCCUGAUGUCUUCGGAUGGAUUUGAGUAAGAGCAUGGCUGUUGGGACCCGAAAGAUGGUGAACUAUGCUUGAAUAGGGUGAAGCCAGAGGAAACUCUGGUGGAGGCUCGCAGCGGUUCUGACGUGCAAAUCGAUCGUCAAAUUUGGGCAUAGGGGCGAAAGACUAAUCGAAC
Molecule: ribosomal RNA, 882 nt
Filed under: Neosetophoma rosigena
Lineage: Eukaryota; Fungi; Ascomycota; Dothideomycetes; Pleosporales; Phaeosphaeriaceae
Description: eukaryotic LSU rRNA
Rfam family: Eukaryotic large subunit ribosomal RNA
Source: RNAcentral